UAGUUGGUGAGGUAAUGGCUCACCAAGGCUAUGACGCAUAACUGGUCUGAGAGGAUGAUCAGUCACACUGGAACUGAGACACGGUCCAGACUCCUACGGGAGGCAGCAGUAGGGAAUAUUGCUCAAUGGGGGAAACCCUGAAGCAGCAACGCCGCGUGGAGGAUGACACUUUUCGGAGCGUAAACUCCUUUUGUUAGGGAAGAAUAAUGACGGUACCUAACGAAUAAGCACCGGCUAACUCCGUGCCAGCAGCCGCGGUAAUACGGAGGGUGCAAGCGUUACUCGGAAUCACCGGGCGUAAAGGACGCGUAGGCGGAUUAUCAAGUCUUUUGUGAAAUCUAAUGGCUCAACCAUUAAACUGC
RNAcentral lists this ribosomal RNA (362 nucleotides) under Campylobacter lanienae. RNAcentral's name for it is "bacterial SSU rRNA". It matches the Rfam family "Bacterial small subunit ribosomal RNA", at positions 246 to 624 of the family's 1533-position model. The record is from RNAcentral. Lineage: Bacteria; Pseudomonadati; Campylobacterota; Epsilonproteobacteria; Campylobacterales; Campylobacteraceae.